RNAcentral lists this ribosomal RNA (2803 nucleotides) under Escherichia coli. RNAcentral describes it as "bacterial LSU rRNA". It matches the Rfam family "Bacterial large subunit ribosomal RNA". The record is from RNAcentral. Lineage: Bacteria; Pseudomonadati; Pseudomonadota; Gammaproteobacteria; Enterobacterales; Enterobacteriaceae.
GGGUUGUGAGGUUAAGCGACUAAGCGUACACGGUGGAUGCCCUGGCAGUCAGAGGCGAUGAAGGACGUGCUAAUCUGCGAUAAGCGUCGGUAAGGUGAUAUGAACCGUUAUAACCGGCGAUUUCCGAAUGGGGAAACCCAGUGUGUUUCGACACACUAUCAUUAACUGAAUCCAUAGGUUAAUGAGGCGAACCGGGGGAACUGAAACAUCUAAGUACCCCGAGGAAAAGAAAUCAACCGAGAUUCCCCCAGUAGCGGCGAGCGAACGGGGAGCAGCCCAGAGCCUGAAUCAGUGUGUGUGUUAGUGGAAGCGUCUGGAAAGGCGCGCGAUACAGGGUGACAGCCCCGUACACAAAAAUGCACAUACUGUGAGCUCGAUGAGUAGGGCGGGACACGUGGUAUCCUGUCUGAAUAUGGGGGGACCAUCCUCCAAGGCUAAAUACUCCUGACUGACCGAUAGUGAACCAGUACCGUGAGGGAAAGGCGAAAAGAACCCCGGCGAGGGGAGUGAAAAAGAACCUGAAACCGUGUACGUACAAGCAGUGGGAGCACGCUUAGGCGUGUGACUGCGUACCUUUUGUAUAAUGGGUCAGCGACUUAUAUUCUGUAGCAAGGUUAACCGAAUAGGGGAGCCGAAGGGAAACCGAGUCUUAACUGGGCGUUAAGUUGCAGGGUAUAGACCCGAAACCCGGUGAUCUAGCCAUGGGCAGGUUGAAGGUUGGGUAACACUAACUGGAGGACCGAACCGACUAAUGUUGAAAAAUUAGCGGAUGACUUGUGGCUGGGGGUGAAAGGCCAAUCAAACCGGGAGAUAGCUGGUUCUCCCCGAAAGCUAUUUAGGUAGCGCCUCGUGAAUUCAUCUCCGGGGGUAGAGCACUGUUUCGGCAAGGGGGUCAUCCCGACUUACCAACCCGAUGCAAACUGCGAAUACCGGAGAAUGUUAUCACGGGAGACACACGGCGGGUGCUAACGUCCGUCGUGAAGAGGGAAACAACCCAGACCGCCAGCUAAGGUCCCAAAGUCAUGGUUAAGUGGGAAACGAUGUGGGAAGGCCCAGACAGCCAGGAUGUUGGCUUAGAAGCAGCCAUCAUUUAAAGAAAGCGUAAUAGCUCACUGGUCGAGUCGGCCUGCGCGGAAGAUGUAACGGGGCUAAACCAUGCACCGAAGCUGCGGCAGCGACACUAUGUGUUGUUGGGUAGGGGAGCGUUCUGUAAGCCUGUGAAGGUGGCCUGUGAGGGUUGCUGGAGGUAUCAGAAGUGCGAAUGCUGACAUAAGUAACGAUAAAGCGGGUGAAAAGCCCGCUCGCCGGAAGACCAAGGGUUCCUGUCCAACGUUAAUCGGGGCAGGGUGAGUCGACCCCUAAGGCGAGGCCGAAAGGCGUAGUCGAUGGGAAACAGGUUAAUAUUCCUGUACUUGGUGUUACUGCGAAGGGGGGACGGAGAAGGCUAUGUUGGCCGGGCGACGGUUGUCCCGGUUUAAGCGUGUAGGCUGGUUUUCCAGGCAAAUCCGGAAAAUCAAGGCUGAGGCGUGAUGACGAGGCACUACGGUGCUGAAGCAACAAAUGCCCUGCUUCCAGGAAAAGCCUCUAAGCAUCAGGUAACAUCAAAUCGUACCCCAAACCGACACAGGUGGUCAGGUAGAGAAUACCAAGGCGCUUGAGAGAACUCGGGUGAAGGAACUAGGCAAAAUGGUGCCGUAACUUCGGGAGAAGGCACGCUGAUAUGUAGGUGAAGCGACUUGCUCGUGGAGCUGAAAUCAGUCGAAGAUACCAGCUGGCUGCAACUGUUUAUUAAAAACACAGCACUGUGCAAACACGAAAGUGGACGUAUACGGUGUGACGCCUGCCCGGUGCCGGAAGGUUAAUUGAUGGGGUUAGCGGUAACGCGAAGCUCUUGAUCGAAGCCCCGGUAAACGGCGGCCGUAACUAUAACGGUCCUAAGGUAGCGAAAUUCCUUGUCGGGUAAGUUCCGACCUGCACGAAUGGCGUAAUGAUGGCCAGGCUGUCUCCACCCGAGACUCAGUGAAAUUGAACUCGCUGUGAAGAUGCAGUGUACCCGCGGCAAGACGGAAAGACCCCGUGAACCUUUACUAUAGCUUGACACUGAACAUUGAGCCUUGAUGUGUAGGAUAGGUGGGAGGCUUUGAAGUGUGGACGCCAGUCUGCAUGGAGCCGACCUUGAAAUACCACCCUUUAAUGUUUGAUGUUCUAACGUUGGCCCCUGAUCGGGGUUGCGGACAGUGUCUGGUGGGUAGUUUGACUGGGGCGGUCUCCUCCUAAAGAGUAACGGAGGAGCACGAAGGUUGGCUAAUCCUGGUCGGACAUCAGGAGGUUAGUGCAAUGGCAUAAGCCAGCUUGACUGCGAGCGUGACGGCGCGAGCAGGUGCGAAAGCAGGUCAUAGUGAUCCGGUGGUUCUGAAUGGAAGGGCCAUCGCUCAACGGAUAAAAGGUACUCCGGGGAUAACAGGCUGAUACCGCCCAAGAGUUCAUAUCGACGGCGGUGUUUGGCACCUCGAUGUCGGCUCAUCACAUCCUGGGGCUGAAGUAGGUCCCAAGGGUAUGGCUGUUCGCCAUUUAAAGUGGUACGCGAGCUGGGUUUAGAACGUCGUGAGACAGUUCGGUCCCUAUCUGCCGUGGGCGCUGGAGAACUGAGGGGGGCUGCUCCUAGUACGAGAGGACCGGAGUGGACGCAUCACUGGUGUUCGGGUUGUCAUGCCAAUGGCACUGCCCGGUAGCUAAAUGCGGAAGAGAUAAGUGCUGAAAGCAUCUAAGCACGAAACUUGCCCCGAGAUGAGUUCUCCCUGAC